Molecule: ribosomal RNA, 315 nt
Filed under: Triticum aestivum (bread wheat)
Lineage: Eukaryota; Viridiplantae; Streptophyta; Magnoliopsida; Poales; Poaceae
Description: partial small subunit ribosomal RNA
Source: RNAcentral
AUGAAUCCAGCCUUGAAGAUGGCCAAAGAUGACAUGAAGAAGAAACAGCCACCAGUGGACGGGAAUUCGUCACAUAAAGUGCUCUGUCUCCUUGAGUCCAUGCUGACAAAGCAAUGCAGAAGCAUCCCUCCUACUGUAAUAACUACAUCUGGGCUUUUAAACAUCCUAAAUUUUACAAAUUUGGUAAAGGAUUCUCUACCAGCAGCAAAGAACUGUUUCUCUUUUGAUUGCCCCUUUUUUUUUCUGCCUUUCUACUGUUUGCAAAUGUCCUGCUGUAUUUAUGUGCUGUGUUUUGGCAUCUGGAACGAAGCAUGA